RNAcentral lists this ribosomal RNA (463 nucleotides) under uncultured bacterium. RNAcentral describes it as "partial 16S ribosomal RNA". It matches the Rfam family "Bacterial small subunit ribosomal RNA", at positions 28 to 507 of the family's 1533-position model. The record is from RNAcentral.
GAUGAACGCUGACAGAAUGCUUAACACAUGCAAGUCGAUUGGGAAGUGGUGCUUGCACCAUGGUAACCAUGGCGGACGGGUGAGUAACGCGUAAGGAACUUGCCUGCGGGACUGGGAUAACAGCAGGAAACUGCUGAUAAUACCGGAUAAGGUCAUUAAGCUGCAUAGCUUAGUGAUGAAAGGAGACGCCUGCGGAGAGCCUUGCGUCCUAUUAGCUAGUUGGAGGGGUAACGGCCCACCAAGGCGAAGAUAGGUAGCCGGCCUGAGAGGGUGGACGGCCACAAGGGGACUGAGAUACGGCCCUUACUCCUACGGGAGGCAGCAGUGGGGAAUAUUGGACAAUGGGGGCAACCCUGAUCCAGCAAUUCUGUGUGCACGAAGACGGUUUUCGGAUUGUAAAGUGCUUUCAGCAGGGAAGAAGGAAGUGACGGUACCUGCAGAAGAAGCGACGGCUAAAUACGUG